This is an RNA transcript of Populus trichocarpa (black cottonwood), 2035 nucleotides long. It is a transcript of the gene named calcium sensing receptor, chloroplastic-like, with no coding region annotated. The record is from RefSeq and is a predicted model, not a curated record. NCBI's taxonomy places the organism in Eukaryota, Viridiplantae, Streptophyta, Magnoliopsida, Malpighiales, Salicaceae. The transcript has 6 exons.
UGACUUUGCUCAAUCGACUAAUCAGCGAAUCGGGUUUUGGAUUCGAUCAGACCCCGGGCCCGUAUGAAAUCUAUGGUCGGUCCCCACCUGAAGAAACGAGAGGCAGAGAGAAACCGAAGAGAUGAGCUAACGGCAUCGACAAGCCACACGAUUCGAUUCUCUACCAUGAUAUAUAAUAUAUAUAUUGUUUCCUUUGACAAGUCGCAACACAAAUUCCAAUACCCAUUUUCAGUUUCCUAGAUUUUGAAACAUGGAAGCUUGGUGAUUUUGAUAAGGUUUAUAUUGAGUUAACAAAAGAUGUUGCCUGUUUGCUCUGCCACUCAGUGUUGUUCCUCUCAUUCUCAGAUAACAUUCCAUGGAGGUCUGCGACCAUUUUGCUCAGUCUGGAAGGAUUUCGAGUCCAGAUGUUAUGUAGAAGACAUGGUACUUUUGGGAAUGUCAAAUAUAACACAUCACCAAAGAAUUUCCUUCAAAACACAAGCUAUAAAGUCUUUCUACUCCAAUAUUAUUGAAAGCUUUGCUUUCAUUAAUGAUCAUUAUUGCCCAAAUGAACUAGGCAACAUUAAUUGCAACUUUUAUAAGGAUUGGGAUUCUUCAGUUGGAGCAAUAGAUGAACUGCACCCACACCCUAUGGGAGGGGGGUAAACUGAAAUUCUUAGAAAGUUAUAACAUAUCUGAUGUUGAAGAAGGACCUUUGAACUCUGCAGACCAGUUUGCUGAUAAUACAGAUAGUUUAAUACGACUUGUGGAACCUGAAAUAACAUCAACUAUUGAUAUUACACCAGAGAAUCCCAGUUUGGGAUCUGAUUCCCUGGAAAUGGGUAACGAUUCAUUAUCUAGUGCAAAGGCUGGUUUUGAUGAUUUUUUGGGCGAGGUUAGGGACUCCAUCAACACUUCAAUAAAUAAGGGAGGAAAUGUUGUGCAAAGCUCACUAGACACAAUUACUUCAGAAGCAGUAGAUGGUGCCUUGAGUAAAGUAUUCUCAACUUUUGAUGAAACAGGAGAAUUAGCUGGCGAUAGAUUGACUAGCUUUUCAUCUGGUUUGAGGGAAGCUACACAAAAAGCUACUGGCACUUCUGUUGAUGUUCUCAGAGUUGCAAUCGUUGCAGUGGAGGAAUCUAUAGCAAAAGGGGCUUCUUUUGUUGUUUAUUCUUAUGGGUCUGCCAAGGAUUUGCUUCCUCCAGAGAUUAGGGGUGCACUGAAUCUGUCUGAAGAAAGGGUAACAGAGAUUUUGAGGCCAAUUGGUGUAACUUUUCAACUGGUUUACAUUGCUAUUGAGGGGCUGGAGAAAAGUCUUGGCUUGGAUCAGAUUGUGCAGGGGUUUUUAUAGGGUGUGGGUAUAUGGUGGUUACUCUGGAGAUUUGUCUCCGCAAUUAACUUUGGAGCUCUUGGCAGGGAAGGAAGACGCCAUACUUAUUGAUGUCUGGCCUGAGGCAAGACAGUAAAUUUUUCUGGCCUUUUUUGUUCUUAAGUUUCUUUUGUUAGAAAUUCUAGUACCUGAAUGAGAGACACUAAAGCUGACUGCUCAGACAUUUACUGAAGGGUCAGUACUGUUUUUUCAACUCUGUUCAUUAAUACCUUCUAUCUUUUAGCUACCCCGUUUCAUAUUUUCAAUAUUUAAUUUCUUUUCACUAGGAAAUAUUAUUUACCAUCCACCUUGCAACCCCAUUUCUUUUACAUCAUAGUAAAAAAAUCUCAAAUCUGGCACCCUCAUUAAUUUCCUUUUUUCCUCCUUAACUUGGCAUUGAACUUGGUGGACAUUGUUUAUAUGAGGGUUCUCAGAGAAAGAGAUGGCAUUCCUGAUCUUAGGCGAGUUGCUCGGUUUCGCUAUGCAAGUGUAACUCUACCAGAGGUUGAUGGCCCAGUAAGGAAGCUUUUAAAGGGUGGACGAGAUCUUAAUGACAUCUUAACUGCUGCAGUCAUUCGAAACUUGAAAGCUGUACAGGACAGGUACCAGGUAAUAGUUAUGGAUGCUGAUGGUUCUCGUUCUAAAGGCAUCGCUAGAUCCUUGAGAAAGCUUGGGGUUAAGGCAAGU